Long non-coding RNA from Thalassophryne amazonica, 155 nucleotides. RefSeq lists it as uncharacterized. The record is from RefSeq and is a predicted model, not a curated record. The transcript has 3 exons. NCBI's taxonomy places the organism in Eukaryota, Metazoa, Chordata, Actinopteri, Batrachoidiformes, Batrachoididae.
UGCCUUGAGCUGAGGGACUCUUGGAUCUGAUCCAGUAGAGAACGAUCCUUCAGUUCAUUCAGACAGUGGAUCAGAUUGAUGUUUCUCGCUGCAGACAGAUUCUCAUCGAGCUUCUUCUUGAUGAACCAGACUGUUUCCUGAUUGGUCUCUGAGAU